AGUGAACGCUGGCGGUAGGCCUAACACAUGCAAGUCGAACGGCAGCACAGUAAGAGCUUGCUCUUACGGGUGGCGAGUGGCGGACGGGUGAGGAAUACAUCGGAUUCUACUUUUUCGUGGGGGAUAACGUAGGGAAACUUACGCUAAUACCGCAUACGACCUACGGGUGAAAGCAGGGGAUCUUCGGACCUUGCGCGAUUGAAUGAGCCGAUGUCGGAUUAGCGAGUUGGCGGGGUAAAGGCCCACCAAGGCGACGAUCCGUAGCUGGUCUGAGAGGAUGAUCAGCCACACUGGAACUGAGACACGGUCCAGACUCCUACGGGAGGCAGCAGUGGGGAAUAUUGGACAAUGGGCGCAAGCCUGAUCCAGCCAUACCGCGUGGGUGAAGAAGGCCUUCGGGUUGUAAAGCCCUUUUGUUGGGAAAGAAAAGCAGCAGGUUAAUACCCCGCUGUUCUGACGGUACCCAAAGAAUAAGCACCGGCUAACUUCGUG
RNAcentral lists this ribosomal RNA (492 nucleotides) under uncultured bacterium. RNAcentral describes it as "partial 16S ribosomal RNA". It matches the Rfam family "Bacterial small subunit ribosomal RNA", at positions 29 to 507 of the family's 1533-position model. The record is from RNAcentral.